Molecule: ribosomal RNA, 505 nt
Filed under: uncultured bacterium
Lineage: Bacteria
Description: partial 16S ribosomal RNA
Rfam family: Bacterial small subunit ribosomal RNA
Source: RNAcentral
GAUGAACGCUAGCUACAGGCUUAACACAUGCAAGUCGAGGGGUAACGAGAGGAAAGCUUGCUCUCCUUGUCGACGACCGGCGCACGGGUGAGUAACGCGUAUCCAACCUGCCCCCAACUAAGGAAUAACCUUGCGAAAGUAAGACUAAUACCUUAUAAUUUCCUCAGAUGUCAUCUGACGAGGAAUAAAGAUUUAUAGGUUGUAGAUGGGGAUGCGUCUGAUUAGCUUGUUGGCGGGGUAACGGCCCACCAAGGCAACGAUCAGUAGGGGUUCUGAGAGGAAGGUCCCCCACAUUGGAACUGAGACACGGUCCAAACUCCUACGGGAGGCAGCAGUGAGGAAUAUUGGUCAAUGGGCGAAAGCCUGAACCAGCCAAGUAGCGUGCAGGAUGACGGCCCUAUGGGUUGUAAACUGCUUUUAUACAGGAAUAAAGUUAGCCACGUGUGGUUAUUUGUAGGUACUGUAUGAAUAAGGACCGGCUAUUCCGUGCCAGCCGCCGCCGUAA